ACGUAAUAGAUACCCGGGUAGUCCACGCCCUAAACGAUGUCUACUAGUUGUUGGUGGAGUAAAAUCCAUGAGUAAACGCAGCUAAACGCGUGAAGUAGACCGCCUGGGGAGUACGGUCGCAAGAUUAAAACUCAAAGGAAUUGACGGGGGCCCGGCACAAGCGGUGGAUUAUGUGGAUUAAUUACGAUGCAACGCGAAAAACCUUAACCUUGGCCGUUGACAUGCCACUAACGAAGCAGAGAUGCAUUAGGUGCCCGUAACGGGAAAGUGGACACAGGUGCUGCAUGGCUGUCGUCAGCUCGUGUCGUGAGAUGUUGGG
This 319-nucleotide ribosomal RNA is filed under the name uncultured bacterium. RNAcentral describes it as "bacterial SSU rRNA". It matches the Rfam family "Bacterial small subunit ribosomal RNA", at positions 773 to 1079 of the family's 1533-position model. The record is from RNAcentral.